GACAAACGCUGGCGGCGUGCUUAACACAUGCAAGUCGAACGGACCCUUUGGGGUUAGUGGCGAACGGGUGAGUAACACGUGGGUGAUCUGCCCUGCACUUUGGGAUAAGCCUGGGAAACUGGGUCUAAUACCGGAUAGGACUACGCACUGCAUGGUGUGUGGUGGAAAGCUUUUGCGGUGUGGGAUGGGCCCGCGGCCUAUCAGCUUGUUGGUGGGGUGAUGGCCUACCAAGGCGACGACGGGUAGCCGGCCUGAGAGGGUGACCGGCCACACUGGGACUGAGAUACGGCCCAGACUCCUACGGGAGGCAGCAGUGGGGAAUAUUGCACAAUGGGCGCAAGCCUGAUGCAGCGACGCCGCGUGAGGGAUGACGGCCUUCGGGUUGUAAACCUCUUUCGCCAGGGACGAAGCGCAAGUGACGGUACCUGGAGAAGAAGGACCGGCCAACUACGUGCCAGCAGCCGCGGUAAUACGUAGGGUCCGAGCGUUGUCCGGAAUUACUGGGCGUAAAGAGCUCGUAGGUGGUUUGUCGCGUUGUUCGUGAAAACUCACAGCUUAACUGUGGGCGUGCGGGCGAUACGGGCAGACUGGAGUACUGCAGGGGAGACUGGAAUUCCUGGUGUAGCGGUGGAAUGCGCAGAUAUCAGGAGGAACACCGGUGGCGAAGGCGGGUCUCUGGGCAGUAACUGACGCUGAGGAGCGAAAGCGUGGGGAGCGAACAGGAUUAGAUACCCUGGUAGUCCACGCCGUAAACGGUGGGUACUAGGUGUGGGUUUCCUUCCUUGGGAUCCGUGCCGUAGCUAACGCAUUAAGUACCCCGCCUGGGGAGUACGGCCGCAAGGCUAAAACUCAAAGGAAUUGACGGGGGCCCGCACAAGCGGCGGAGCAUGUGGAUUAAUUCGAUGCAACGCGAAGAACCUUACCUGGGUUUGACAUGCACAGGACGCCGGCAGAGAUGUCGGUUCCCUUGUGGCCUGUGUGCAGGUGGUGCAUGGCUGUCGUCAGCUCGUGUCGUGAGAUGUUGGGUUAAGUCCCGCAACGAGCGCAACCCUUGUCUCAUGUUGCCAACACGUUAUGGUGGGGACUCGUGAGAGACUGCCGGGGUCAACUCGGAGGAAGGUGGGGAUGACGUCAAGUCAUCAUGCCCCUUAUGUCCAGGGCUUCACACAUGCUACAAUGGCCGGUACAAAGGGCUGCGAUGCCGUGAGGUGGAGCGAAUCCUUUCAAAGCCGGUCUCAGUUCGGAUCGGGGUCUGCAACUCGACCCCGUGAAGUCGGAGUCGCUAGUAAUCGCAGAUCAGCAACGCUGCGGUGAAUACGUUCCCGGGCCU
Molecule: ribosomal RNA, 1330 nt
Filed under: uncultured bacterium
Lineage: Bacteria
Description: bacterial SSU rRNA
Rfam family: Bacterial small subunit ribosomal RNA
Source: RNAcentral